UUUCACGCUGCUCAUUUAAGUUUACAAGUCUGUAUAGUCAACCCGAUCCUAUGAAUAAGCCUAUGCAGUUCCUCUAGAAGGGUAUUGUCAAGACCUCUAGAGACGAGAAUAGACGAAGGGAAAGGAAGGAAAUCCUUUCCAGGAUCAAUGAUCUAGAGAGCAAACUAAGUUAUGGGCUACCCCCUCAACUGUCUGAUGGGGGCUAUGCUAGUCUCAUAGCCCUCUAUCUCUACAGUAUCCCGCAAUUUCUGCUCCUUCCCGUCCUUUUCAUUCUUGAUAGCACAGGAAAUAGACUGUUCUUUGUCCUUGGCCGUCCUUUGUCUUCUUUCAAUAAUACCAUAGAUGCUAUUGGUCCCGAUCUUCGAUUCAAUCUAGGAAUGGUUGUUAAAGAGACCCGUGGUAAUCGUCUUUUUUUUUUCUUUAUCUAAGGUCUUAGCUAUGCUACUCACUUUUCUUUUUUCUUUUUCUUGUUCUUGUUGAGAUACCUUAACAUUGUCAUUACACGCUGCUUUCCUUAGGUUAAAGAACCUCCAUGACACAUUCGCAGUGUGUCUAAGAAAACCUCAUCCCCUCUUAACUUUGGCAAAAUAAAUAAAUUAUAUCAAUAGGCAUGAUAUGUCCCCUAAAAUACUAGUAAAUUGUAAAAUAUUAAUAUAAUUGUAUAUUAACCUAGUAUGGAAAUCAAAUAACUGAACAGUUAAUCUAUUCAAUAAGGGCCAGUUUAGCAUUGCUAUGCUGUGAAAAUAAUCGUUGUUAGAUUUGCUGUGAGAGAAAUCAACUGUAAGAGAAAGCAGUUUGGCAUUUGGUAAACUUUUUGUUAAAAGUGUUGUUGAUACUAAUUCCUGCAUAAUCAGAAAAUGAUUCCCGCAUAAUUAUUAAACCUAGCGCCGCUUCGAAACUGAUUCCUGCAUAAUCAGAAAAUGAAAGCAUCUCGUUAGCUGCUUUCCUUAUUUUAAGGAUCCGCC
RNAcentral lists this long non-coding RNA (965 nucleotides) under Prunus persica (peach). RNAcentral's name for it is "long non-coding RNA (PPER_LNC002369)". The record is from RNAcentral. Lineage: Eukaryota; Viridiplantae; Streptophyta; Magnoliopsida; Rosales; Rosaceae.